GUUUAACUUCUAUAUUAGAUAUAUUUAAAC
RNAcentral lists this non-coding RNA (30 nucleotides) under Clostridium botulinum Bf. Lineage: Bacteria; Bacillati; Bacillota; Clostridia; Eubacteriales; Clostridiaceae. The record is from RNAcentral.